This is a non-coding RNA of Danio rerio (zebrafish), 6793 nucleotides long. Lineage: Eukaryota; Metazoa; Chordata; Actinopteri; Cypriniformes; Danionidae. The record is from RefSeq and is a predicted model, not a curated record.
UUCUGUCGUUCUAAAAUAAAGAAAUAAGCAGAAAGCAAAGCAAGUGUGUGUUUCUGACUGAUGUAGAAGCCUCGGGAAAUCACACAGGCGAGUGUGUGUGUGUGUGUGUGUGUGCGCGCGCGCGCGACUCUUCAGUGUUCUGCCGUCUGGUGGCCGCUGGCGGAACUGCACCCUGUGCGCUGUUUUGUGUUUACAGCUGAGCUGAAUGUGCUGCUCAUGUACGCGCUGCUCUGCAGGUCAGCCGCGGCUCCUCCUCGCGUCUCUCCUCCUCCUCCUCCUCCUGCUGCUCCUCGCGGGGUUUAUUCGUUAUGAUGAAAUCUUUCAUGAACAUUUUAGCACUCGCUCGUGGGUCCCGUCAUGCCCCGGUGCAUUGUGGUCGCUGUCAGGCGCGCAUGCGCGCAGCGGAGCUCCAUCUUUCCAUCCCGAGCGCAGAGGAGCAGCGGAUGUGUUGAUGCCUUCAGUCGUUUUGUUUUUAUUCUUAAAGGCCCAGAGUCGCUGUGAAAUAAACCCGCGCGGACUCUUCCUCCGUUAUUGUCCUCCGAGGAGCUUCCAGCACCGGGAAUGCGGCGGUUGGCGGCUGUUAUGAGGUAGAUCGAGCCGCUGCUGCUGCGCUUCGGCCGCGGCGACACAUUAGAGAGUGAAUCCGCUGCAGGAGCGCUUCCGGCCCGCAGGAGAGCAGGAGCCAUGGGUGUGCGAGAGCGGCCCCUGAGUGGCCCUUGAGUGCCGCAGACGCGUGUCCUGACCUCACUUCUUCUUCUUCAGUCUCCACUCUACUUCUUUCGGACUCUUUCUCAUGGCUCCGGCCGGCCGGACUGCAGCGGCGGCGGGGUCUGUGUCUGCAUGCGGCGCUGCGCUGGAGACGCCGUGCCGUCUGUGACUCCGCCCCUGAGCUGGACUUCCUCUUCUGAGCGUCAGGAUGCGACGCGGCGCCGACACGCAGACGAGCGCCUGAUCUGCAGGAGUUUAGCACUGGACCAUAAACAUGAAUGGUGGAAAAGAGCGGGAGGGUACCUUCGCCCAGGUGCCCAUCGGCUGGCAGAGGAAGCUGGAGGCCUCCGGUGUCCUGUACAUCAGCCCCAGCGGAUCAGUGCUGUCCUGUCUCGAGCAGGUCAAGUCUUACCUGCUGACCGAUGGCACCUGUAAAUGUGGUCUGGAAUGUCCACUCAUCCUCCCGAAGGUUUUUAACUUUGACCCUGGAGCGGCGGUGAAGCAGCGGACAGCAGAGGACGUGAAGGCUGACGAGGACGUGACGAAGCUCUGCAUCCACAAGCGGAAGCUGAUCGCGGUGGCGGCGCUGCAUAAGAGCAUGGAGCUGCAGCCGCCGGCGCUCACGCUCACCAGCCCCGGAGGAGGCACCAGUGUGAGCUCCAUGUCUGCCGCUCCGCCUCGAGCAAUAAGAAAUAAGACCCACGAGAGCCAGCCGGAGUGCAGGAACCCCUUCAAGACGAUGAUGGCGGCUGGGCAGCGGCACUUCUCUCCGGACCUGUGCCCGCAGCAGCAGCAGGACGGGUUCCCUUCAUACCCGCGGCAGAGGCUGAGUGAGCCCGGGCACAGGUCUCCAUACCGCAGUGGGCACAGUAGCAUGCUGAGCCCUCCGGUGCAGCCCUUCGGGGACAGUUCGGUUUCUCCCAGGACGGAUGCUCUCGGCAGUCCUGACGGGGUUCUCCGUGGCACGGCCUGUGGGUUUCAGGGCACCGGCAGCCCUGGAGCUGUCCACAGCAGCAGCCGCGUCCCUCUGUCGUCCCCGGGUGUCCUGGCACAUGGUUCACCCGUUGCCCCAUCCUCCUGUGUCAUGGCGGGCAGGACUAACAUGCCUCUGUCGCCCCCUGUGCCCAACAAGAGCCCCGUCAUGAAAAAACCCCUGUGCAACUAUCCGCCCGGCAUGGACUCCAGCAGAGGUGUGUUUCACCAUAAGGCCCUGUCUGUGUCUGCGCCCACCCUGCCGCCGCCCUGCGCCCUGCAGAAUAAACCGCUGAGCUCUGAAAAAGACCCACUCGGCAUCCUGGACCCCAUUCCCAGUAAACCCACCCCAUCCCCUUUCCAGUCCAGCGCCCACUCUCAGGUACCAAUGAUGAAUGUAAACAUCCCGCCCGCCAUCGUCCCACUGCCUAGUAACCUGCCCUUGCCCACGGUGAAGCCGGGCCCGGUGGGACACAUGCAGAGGGCACCGCACGCCACGUCCAUAUCCCCGUCUCCCGUCACGUCCCCUGUGCACAUGUCUGUGCCCGCGCUGGGUCGUGUGGAAGCAUCUCCUCAGCGCUCCCGGUCCUCGUCCACCUCCUCGGAGCAGGGCAGCUUCGCCGUGCCCCCAUGUGGCAGCAUGAAGGUGCCGCCGCGCUCGCCCCGCUCUGCCAUCAGCUCUCCGCGCCCUGCUCUGCCCUCCAGCCCGUCUGCCAAGCCGGAAGCUCUUCAUUCGUACAAAGAUGUGCCCGCCCAGCUGCUGGCAGGGAUGAGUGGCAUGAGCGGUCAGCACAACCCCAUGUACCCGCCUGCCCCAGCGGGUGCUGGGCCGCAGAAGGAGCACCCAGGUCUGCUGGGGAUGCCACUGAACCAGAUCCUUAACCAACACAACGCUGCCUCUUUCCCUGCCAGCAGCCUCCUCUCAGCUGCCGCCAAAGCACAGCUAGCAAAUCAAAACAAGCUAGGCAGUGGUGGUGGCGCGGUGGGCACGGGGGCGUCCGCUGGGCUCUCCUGCCCGCUCACUACACCGGACCCCAGCAGACCGACGGAGGGCCACGCUGCGCUGAACCCCAUGCUGCCGCCCAACCCCGCCAUGAUGAUGCCCAGCGGCGAAGCUCAGAGCGGGCGCGCUGCCCUCCGGGACAAACUCAUGGCACAGCAGCGUGACCCCAUGCGCAAGAGGAAGCAUCCUGCAAGCGUUGCCCACCACGAGAACAGUUUUUUCAACAUGGCUGGCAUAAGGACACCGUGCCCGCCGGCCGAGCAGAUGAGGAAAGCUGCCCGCCUGCCCUCCAACACGUCUAUGGCGCAGCUGCUGCAGUCUCUGAGUAACCACAGCUCCCACAGGGGCAGGAGUCCAGCCCUCGCCAGCCCUGGGCGGGCACACUUUGGGGAGGGGGCACAGGUACAGCAGCGGGGACAUGGGCAGCCCGACUCUAUGCACUGCCCUGCCGUGGAGCCCCAAAGCCACUACUCUGGCAUGAUGAACCAGAUGCAGCCCACGGCCAUGGGCAACUGCGCACCCGUGAACCACAGUGGUGCAGUUCCUCUGGCCAACCACAUGAUGGCGCACACAGGCACUCACUUUCAGCAGCACGUCCAGCCUAAUGCCAACUGCAUUCUGCCCGGCGGAGAGUCCUGCUGCCCGCAGCCCAUGGCAGAUGCAGGUGAGCCCAAUCCGCUGAGCUGCAGCAUGGCCAACACUGCUCAUAUGGGUGGCAUGAUGCCUGCCGCAGGACACAUGUACCACCAACACCACCAGCAGCAGCUUCACCCGGCACUGCAGGGCAUGCACGGAGUCUCUACAUACCCGAGCCAGGGACACUCCUUUACUACGGGCCCUUUCACAGACAGCAGCGUCCCCAACUCCAGCAGCGUGCCCUGCCUGUACCAGGAUUACCAGGGAUGUGUGUCUGAGAGCGGGCAGCCUGGCGUGGCGUCGCUCUCUGGAGAAGCGGGCAUGUACCGCGAGGGGCAGCAGAAGCUGCAGGGAGACGUGCCUGUGGUGCCAGGAGGUCAGGGGUCGGUGGAGUCAGUGGAUGCCAUCUACAGGGCGGUGGUGGAUGCGGCGGGCAAAGGUGUGCACGUGACCAUCACCAGCGGUGUAAGCGGCUCCACGCAGGCCAGCCCUGUGCCGGCGCUCAGUGCCAUGACAGAGCAGCGACGCCGCAGACGGGCACCAGUUCUUCCGCUCGCCCAGUGCCGCCACGCCACGAGCACAGUGGGAUGAGCCUGGCCUCUGGAGGAGCGAGGAGUUUCUGGAGUGCUCCACGGCGGUGCCUAGUGGGCGAGCGGAGCGGCAGUGCCCAGCAGAUCAGCCGCAGACCCACGAGCUCCCCGACACCCACACUGAUGAUGCCAGUCUGCGCUUCAACCACCGCGCCGGCACGGGCAUGAGAGAGCGACUGGAGCCGGCGGAGCGGUGCCCGCAGCUGAACGGCUCGCUCGCCCGUGCCGGGUACGGGGAUCCGCUGACCGCUGAGGACCAGUCGCCCGGCUCCUCCACCAGUUUGGAUGGCCCGCUCCUCAAAGACUACACCCACUUCAACGGGCACUUUAAUGGGCACUGCGCACCCAGCCCCUCCGACACCAAGAGCCUGAGCAGCGAGGAGGAGCUGCGGCACCCGGACUCGCCCUCCGCUGACCUGCUGCACUACAGGCCACGCCCCUACAACAUGGGUGAGCUGGUCUGGCCAAUCACAGGCUUCCCUGCCUGGCAGAAUAAGCUGGCAGAUGAACAUGGGCGCAAUCCCAGCAUGCAGCUGGCAGAGCAGGCCAAGGUGGAGCCGGAGCAGCUGAAAACACUAACACAUGACCUGCAGGCGCUGGACCGAGCCAGCAAGAAGAGCCGGAAGGCCGGAAAGCUGAACCAUCAUCUAGAAGCUGCGAUUCACGAGGCCAUGAGCGAGCUAGACAAGAUGUCUGGAACUGUCCACCCGGACCGUCAGGUCAAACUGCCCAAACCCAAGAGGAGGAAGAUCUCCAGAUAACAGCAGCGCUCCUGUGGCUCCACCCCCUUGCUGUGACUCCGCCUCUCUCUUUGAUCUCGGUGCUACACUCUAGCAGACGGCUCAGCGUGGCCCCGCCCUUCACACUGACUGACAGGUGCUGGAUCAGCCAAUUAGAGAAGGCAGACAGACAGCUUGCUGAAGAACUGUUUUUUCAGACAGGAGACGUCUACAGUACUGCGCUCACCACAGACAGUCCAAAUAUUUCUGAUAUGUUUUCAGUGUGUAUAUAGACAAUACAGAAAUUUCAUGGUAAAAACAUGGGAAGAAGUGUAAAUACUGUAGGAUAAUGAGAUGUACAAGCCAACCCAAUGCACACUUUAUCUUCAGCUGUACAAAAACACAAAGCAGAAACGUCUGAUCGGCCCGUACGGCUCCGCGACGUUACCAUCAAUAAGAGUCCGUCUGAGACUUUUGUAAGCUUCAGUGUGUGUGUGUGUGUGUGUGUGUUUGUGAGUGCGCGUGUGUGUGUGUCGGACUGGACUUCACCAGCUGAUCAGGCUUCUUGACUUCAGCUCUCGGGCUUCUCUGUAAAGUUCAGGUCUUCCAGCACUAAACACUAAUGUUUUCACUCCUCUGUCAUCGUCUUGCUCACUUUGCUCUGAUGUUUUCUGUCCUCGUGCGGCUGCUCUGGCCUUCCUCCAUGGUCUUGUCGUGUCUCUGCGUUACACUCGUGUCUGUGAGGUUUGGGUCGAGUCGUUCUCACUGUACUGGCCAACACGAGGGAAACUGGGCUGAUCAUGUGGAGCUCACUGUUCAUCAGGAAACUUGGCAAUAACACGGCCCAGUGUACAUACUCGCUAAAGCCUUAUGCGUGUGUAUCUCUCUCACACACUCACACACACACUCGUACCCUUCAGUGUUAUUCGGUGAACAGUGUUUUUCUUCAUUAUGUAUUUCUCCUGUGUUGGAGUUUGGCUCAUCAUCAGAUGGAGGUGUGGAGGGUUCAUGUUUGUCUCCGCAUUGAGACGUUCCUCAGUCACAUCAGCAGUGGAGAUCACAUGACCAGCUGAACACUGGUCGCUCUCACUGAACACUUCAUACACACCAAACAGACGCAGGACAGCUGGAGAUCUGCUGCUGAAUCUCCAGCAGACUCAUUCAACCCCUGCUGAUGGGUAACUGUUUGUCUGCCCAUAGACAGGGUCACCCUGAGAGGUCAGAGGUCAGCGUCGGGCCUUUAGGGUCAGGACAGGUCGUACAGCAUUACUGUAGAGUGUGAGGAUCUGCCAGUAACACUAACUCAGUAUGAAGAGCUGAUUCAGUGCAUCGUGUGUGUGUAAACUCUAGACAUGUGGGGGAUUUACAGCUCAUCCGGUCACACUCAAAACUCUAAACUAGGCCAGAGUCAACAGCAGACGUCGGUCGAUUUCUCUUCUUGUUGUCGUCUUUACUGAAAUUUCACUACAAAAUUAAGUGCAAUAUUCACAUUCAGUGGAACCGAAAACUAAAUCCACACAAAUAUAGAUUAACAUGACAGUCCAGAGGUGAAAUCACUCAAGCCUGUUCAGCGAGACGAGCAGAUGAGUGUGUGUGUGUGUGUGCUGGUGAAGUCGGCUCCGUGUUGUGCUGCGCAUCCGUGUUCAGAGUCACUGUUCAAGGUCAAAACAUUUGUGUUCAUGUGCUCAGUGUUGGCCAAAACUCCUCCAUUGCUCUUCUGUUUCUCUCAUCUCCUCCAGUGUGUGUGUGUGUGUGUGUGUGUGUGUGCACAUGUGCACAUGAGUGAGUGUGUGUGUGUGUGUGUGUACAUUUUUUGUUCUUUGCUUGCUAUUUUCUGACUGGUAUCUGACUGGUGUUGCAGACCUUUCUGAUGUCCAUAUUCUGGAUGCGUAUCUGAGUAUAUAUUUUCUCACCAGUAUGUACUUUACAGCAGUCGACUUGCUAAAGUAUGUUGUGCACUUGAUUAUGUUUGUUUCUGAUAGCUUUGAUGUGGCUGUUAGCUUUAGUUUGUUCAAGUCCAUAAUUUCUCAUGGUUUCUUUUGGUUUUUUAAAGAUGUCCUAAACAGCAGUUUUGUAAAUAUUGUGAACAUUACAGGUCAUGCUGUGAUGUGACAUUGAGAUGACGUUGCACCAAUGUUUCAAUUAAAACCUGGUCACUAAAUCCG